RNA transcript from Solea senegalensis (Senegalese sole), 3547 nucleotides. It is a transcript of the gene named platelet-derived growth factor alpha polypeptide b, with no coding region annotated. The transcript is spliced from 7 exons. The record is from RefSeq and is a predicted model, not a curated record. Lineage: Eukaryota; Metazoa; Chordata; Actinopteri; Pleuronectiformes; Soleidae.
CGGCUCAGAGGCGCAGUGAGUCCAUUCACUUCAGAGUCACACACAGCUAAAGAGCAGCGCUGACUGCUGCAGGACUCACAGGCAGGCAGACAGACAGAUAGACAGACAGACAGACUCUGGGUAGCUCAAUACAACACGGAAAACUUUCUCCCCUGUGAUUUUCUGAGAGGAUCUGUUGGUUUGGAUUUUAUUCUCACUGGACUCCUCAGGAGUAGAAAAAAACAACAACCUGUUCAAAUAUAAGAAGAAGAGCUGCGUGGUUUGAUGUCUCAAUAAAGUGGGCCGUGUAGUUUGGAGAGCGUUAGUGUGUGAGAGACAAGUGCAAUGCGCCUCAGACUUGUCUGCCACGAUUGUGCCAUUUGCGCUUGAGGAGCUUUUAUGUCGUGUCAAGAGGACGCAGUCCAAUGUGAAUUACAAGAGUCAACUUCCAGCCUCCGCAGCGUUUCACACCUCACAAGCAAGUGCAGCACCGGAGUCUGACUGAAGCCGCCGCGCAGCUCCGACACCCCGGUCCCUCUCCCUCGAGGCGAGGGGAUGGUUGUGGAUCCUCUGGGGCCAGGAGCGACUCUGCGGCUCCUACACAACAACACUUUCUGCGUGUCUUGGGUUCAUUCUAACUUAAAGGGAGAUGAGAGCCGCACUUUGUCACUUCCUUUUGUGGACGGCGUAUCUGCUGCUGGUCAACGCUGAGAAGGAAGUGGAGUUUCCCCAGGAGCUGAUAGACAGACUGUCUCACAGUGAAAUCCACAGCAUCAGCGACCUCCAGCGGCUACUGGACAUUGACUCCGUAGGUACGGGAAAUGAUGUUAUCGAGGAGCCCAAGCCCCACAGACACCACAACCACCAUAAGAACUACUCCCGGCACCAUGGCCACUACAAUGACUUGAAGAGUUCCCAGCUCCACAGCAGACGCAAGAGGAGUAUUGUAGAGGAGGCGGUCCCAGCGGUGUGUAAGACGCGGACGGUGAUCUACGAGAUCCCCAGGAGCCAGGUGGAUCCCACGUCUGCCAACUUCUUAAUAUGGCCGCCCUGCGUGGAGGUGAAACGCUGCACGGGCUGCUGCAACACCAGCAACAUGCGCUGCCAUCCUUCCCGCAAGCAUUACCGCACCGUUAAGGUGGCCAAGGUGGAGUAUGUCAGGAGGAAACCCAAGCUGAAAGAGGUCUUUGUGCGGUUAGAAGACCACCUGGAGUGCGUGUGCACAUCCCAGCAUCAUGUGGUGGAGCACUCAGAAGCAGAAACAGGCCACCGUAGGGCUAAGGGUAAAAAAAGGAAACCUAAAAGGCUAAGGCCCAGCAAGGAUUUAUUGGCGACAUAAUAAAGUUGCACUCAUUACCCAAAGUCCACUGGAGAGCUGUGAAGGGAACAGUGGACGUGAGGUGAAACCAAUCAGAACAAUGGACUUCAGUGUGGGAGGGACCUUAAGUAAAGGAUGUCAUCAACACGAGACCUGCUCUGUCCUCUUCCCUGCUGCUGUGCAACCUUCAUUUAAGAAAACUAACAUUUCUGUAAAGAUGAGAGACAGAAAGACUUAAAUAAGAUGCCAAAGGUGCUUAAAAAAAAAGAAACAAACUGUGAGGACUUCCUCUGUGGUACACCACCUACUCAGACAACGGAAACCUGCCAAUUAUUGAGAAGAAAAGAGAAAUAUGCCGUGGAGCUUGGGUAGGGCGGAAAGAGGCCGAAGGGAGAUGAUGAAAGGGAUUUGUGUUGAACAUUUUGACUGACUUUGUUUGAACAAGACGUGCAACAGAAAUGGCUGUAAAACAGUUCAAUCAAGCGUUCGUGGGAAUCUGGUGCUCAGACUGCAGAACAGCAGUGGACGACCUCCAGCUGGGCAACAUAAAAGUGCCCUGCCCUGUUCCAAUGACUUUUGCAUACCCAGGAAGGAAGAGCGAUAUAGCAAAACAACGGCAAAUGUUGGAGUUAUGGAGGUGUUUGAUUUUGCAAAUGACUCUCUGUGGAGCAUCAAACAAUUUUUGGAGUUUUUGGAUGUUUUCUCUGGGUAAAGAAAAAAGCUCUGAGAAGCCCGGUGGUCCAUGACUUUUCCCACCUGCUAUGUACAGUUCAAUCAGAACAGGAUGCACCGCUACUUAUAAACUAUUUAUACAUGUGGACAUUUUAUUUUUAUCUCUUCCAGUACAAAAGAACAAUAUGAUUUCUUUUUCUUUUUGUUUUAUUGUGUUGGACACGUGCAAGAGUCCUGAGUGGUCCUGUUCUUUGACACCUUCAGUAUCACAAUCUCUGUGUCCUUGUUUUGUUUUGUUUUUGCUGUUCUUGUCAUCCGUGUUUCUUAUUAUAUUACAGUAUAUCUGAAUGAUGUCAAGUCUUGUAUAUGGUUUGGAUAUAUGAGUGCAAGGAGGAGAUGUGAGUCUCAGUGCAGGAAGAUGCUUUAUUUUUGUUAUGAAAUAUAUUAUGCUUACUUAUAUCCAAGCAGGAAAUAUGUUAAAAUUCUUUUGUUGUGGUUGAAUGUCUGUAUUUAAUCUAAUGGAAAUGAUGCAGAAACAGGGACAGGGGGUUUUAAGAGAUGAGGAGGAGGAGGAGGAGGAGGAGGAGAAAAAAAAAGCUGCCUGUGAUUGUUUGUGUGUGUGGAACUGUGAAAAGGAGGGACAGACUGGCUCAGACAUGGCAACUUAAACGAGUGGCUGCAAUGUAGCUUAUUCAACGGCCACAAAACAAGCAUCCCCAAAACCUUUAGUGUGUCCUUGACAAAACCAAAGGCACACAAAUAUGCUAGUGUGUGUGUAUGUAUGUAUGUGUGUGUGCGUGUGUGUGUGUGUGUGUGUGAUUUCUCUGUUACAUGAUGCCAUUUUACAUUCAUAUCACCUCAGUGUUGAUAAGGAAGAUGCCUGCCCGGUCUGCUUCAAGAAAAACACACACAUGUUGUGCCUGGAGAGAGCAAAGUCCACCUUAAAGAGCGAAUGAGCGAGUUGACAGGUGCAUGAAUGGACUCCUUGUUUAGCCAGUCUUUACUCCUCUGUUGACAGGAGAAUAAAUCUCUGCAGGAUCCACCCCUUUGAAGGGAGUCACACCUUUUGCAGCCACAUACCAUCAGGACAGGACGAUGAUGGGCGCUGAAAACAGAAACGGAGCAUGUGCCCGCUCUGGAAUAAGGAAUUACUUACCCCUACCUGUUCCUUUUUAACAGUGACGAAUGUGUAACCAAGAAAACAAAACGUCUUCCACCACGCGUUCAAGAAAUGUUCAAGAAAAGAGGUUUUUUUUUUUGUUUUUUAAAAAAGUCGAAACAGUGAGUCGUUUCAAUUGAAUGAGAAAUAAAUGGAAUGAAAGAUGGCUGUGUCGUCAACUGCUGAACUGUGAACAUCAAAUUGCAUAAAUGGGUGACAUGGUGCUACAUUUACAUCACUGUUCACAUCAGUGUAACACUGUUCUCAGUAAACCAGGGACCAGGCUGAAGAAAAUGCCAUUACACUAUCACUAAGUCUUUACUACUUUCCUUGUGGGCUCCCAUUGGAUAAAUACGGCAAUAAUCAUAAUUUAUAUAUUUAUGUUUUCAACAAUAAAUAUAUUUCUGCUUAUAAAAUUG